GAUGAACGCUGGCGGCGUGCCUAAUACAUGCAAGUCGAGCGAACGGACGAGAAUCUUGCUUCUCUGAUGUUAGCGGCGGACGGGUGAGUAACACGUGGAUAACCUACCUAUAAGACUGGGAUAACUUCGGGAAACCGUAGCUAAUACCGGAUCAUAUUUUGAACCGCAUGGUUCAAAAGUGCAAGACGUUCUUGCUGUCACUUAUAGAUGGAUCCGCGCUGCAUUAUCUAGUUGGUAAGGUAACGGCUUACCAAGGCAACGAUGCAUAGCCGACCUGAGAGGGUGACCGGCCACACUGGAACUGAGACACGGUCCAGACUCCUACGGGAGGCAGCAGUAGGGAAUCUUCCGCAAUGGGCGAAAGCCUGACGGAGCAACGCCGCGUGAGUGAUGAAGGUCUUCGGAUCGUAAAACUCUGUUAUUAGGGAAGAACAUAUGUGUAAGUAACUGUGCACAGCUUGACGGUACCUAAUCAGAAAGCCACGGCUAACUACGUG
This 497-nucleotide ribosomal RNA is filed under the name uncultured bacterium. RNAcentral's name for it is "partial 16S ribosomal RNA". It matches the Rfam family "Bacterial small subunit ribosomal RNA", at positions 28 to 507 of the family's 1533-position model. The record is from RNAcentral.